GUGACGGUGCGACGCCGCGUGGGUGACGAAGGCCUUCGGGUUGUAAACCCCUGUCACCUGGGAAGAAAGGCAGGCAGUUAAUAGCUGUCCUGCUUGACGUUACCAGGGAAGGAAGCACCGGCUAAAUACGUGCCAGCAGCCGCGGUAAUACGUAUGGUGCAAACGUUGUUCGGAAUCACUGGGCUUAAAGAGCACGUAGGCGGUCGAGAUAGUCUGAUGUGAAAUCCCUCGGCUCAACCGAGGAACUGCAUCAGAUACUACUUGGCUUGAGUGCAGGAGGGGAGAGUGGAAUUCCUGGUGGAGCGGUGAAAUGCGUAGAUAUCAGGAGGAACGCCGGUGGCGAAAGCGACUCUCUGGCCUGCUACUGACGCUGAGGUGCGAAAGCCAGGGGAGCGAACGGGAUUAGAUACCCCGGUAGUCCUGGCCCUAAACGAUGGGCACUAAGUAGAGGGGUUUU
RNAcentral lists this ribosomal RNA (457 nucleotides) under uncultured bacterium. RNAcentral's name for it is "bacterial SSU rRNA". It matches the Rfam family "Bacterial small subunit ribosomal RNA", at positions 383 to 832 of the family's 1533-position model. The record is from RNAcentral.